Molecule: long non-coding RNA, 3375 nt
Organism: Rosa rugosa (rugosa rose)
Lineage: Eukaryota; Viridiplantae; Streptophyta; Magnoliopsida; Rosales; Rosaceae
Exons: 3
Source: RefSeq, a predicted model, not a curated record
GCAUCAAUGAAAUAAUGAAUGCUCUCCUUUUAUAUAUGUUUCUCCUCCAUUUCUCUCUCUUUUCUUCUUUUUCCCCCAAAUUUUUUUCUUUUUAAUUGACAUCUUUGUAGAGUGUAGAGGAUUGAACGAUGAUGAUAACAAUUUGGUUCGCUCGUCGUACGUAAUGGCACAAUUGCCUUGUCGAAAUUGCAGAAUGCUUCUGAGUUCUCUAUUUCUUACUCUACAGUUUGAUCCUAAUAUGAUUUCUUUCUUUUUAGUAAAUGUUAUGUGAAGUCCCCAAAUUGUCAAAUUCUUUUCACUAUUAACUACGAUUUGUUAAACAAUUCUUCUUUCUUUUCCCUCAAAGUUUUCAGUUGUUUUAAUUAGUCACAAGUGAAAAUUACACACAAGUGAUCUUUUGAAAUUUUAAUUAAUCAUAAGGCCACUUAAUUUUUCUUGUACGCAUAAGCCAUAAGGCCACUUGUAUUCACAAAUUAUUUCAUUAUUGACAAUUUUACCCUCCACUUAAGAGACCAAAUUUUAUUAACCUUACAUCGAUCUCUCUCUACCCGAUCACAGUCUCUCUCUCCUCGACCACAGAUAUUCACGUCUUUGGGCUCCGCCUCCGAUUCCGGCGACCACCGGCAUGGCGCUCUCUCUCUCCUCAAUCACAGAUCACGUCUUGGUCUCCACCUCCAAUUUCAUAGACCACCGGCACGGUGCUUUCUCUCUCACACUCUCUCCUCGAUCACAGAUCUUCACGGCGCCGGCAUGAUGGUUCACCGAGAAAAUGGUGAAUGUGAUGCUCCGAUCUGGUGCGCUUCGAACAGCCCUGCGCGGUGGCUCUCGGUCCUCUGCUCCGCCCAAGCGGCCCUUCUCCUCCACCGCCGGCCACAACUAUGCUUAUGACUACUACAAUUGCCAUCGAGGAUGUGAGAAGGGAAGUCAAGAUAUUGAAAGCUUUGACCGGGCAUAGCAAUCUAGUACAAUUUUAUGAUGCAUUCGAAGACCAUGAUAAUGUCUAAGUAGUUAUGGAGUAUUUCAGUCAGAAAAAGCCUCAAGCCUAUUGCAAACCACCGGUUGUUGUUAAGCCGAACUGGAAUCCCAGAGGCAAGCCUUGUUCAAGCAAAGUCAGAUCAAGUUUUGGGAGAAAAUGUGUUUAUUUUGUUUUUAAAUUAGCAAAUUGUGUUGAAUUUGUAGAUAAGGAGCAGAUGAGGAUAGUGAAGGAGGCAUUGCACUUGUCUACGGUUCCCUCUAGUGUUACGUGCCGCGAAGUGGAGCAGAAGAGGGUUCUGGAGUUCUGCAAGUCAUGCAUAGAGCAAGAGAAGGCUCAUGGAUACAGUUUUUGUAUUACAAUUUGGAGAAAAUUUGAAGCCAAAAUGAUGAAGGAUUAAGUUUGCUCUAUUUUCAUUUUUAUAUUAUUGGGGAAACAGGGUAAUGCGAGCAAGUGUUGGAAGUUUCAAGCCCUGUAGGAGAAAGAUAAUAGUAGUGAAUGUUCAAAUAACUUCUCAAAAUGAGAGGUGAAAGAGAUGUGGUCUUCGAAGUACUGGGGAUGUCUAUAAUGGAGACUUUAAGGACCACAAGCAUUUGAGACCCUGGGACCUAGUGGUGAAGAGUGUUGAAAGAAGACAGUAAGGCUCAGUUUGAUUCAUUCGUGGUUAAGUAGCUUCAAAUUCCUCGUGGUGUGGCAAGGAGGUUGGAAGGGAUGGUGGGAAGAGGUGUCUGAAGGCAAGAAAGAUCACUUGGUUCAGGUGACUCGAAUUAAGGAGAAAAAGGAAGUUUCAGAGUGGGAAACUUAGCUUAGUAAUAGAAAUGGGAGACUUAGCUUAGUAAUAGAAACUUCGAUUUGGGAAUGGGCUUCAUGAAAAUGGUUGGCAUCCCAAGUAUUCCUAGAGGUUCAGGUUGGAGCCCAUGGACAGGUAUCCCUUAAACGAUGUUUUUGCUUUUGUUGUUUGGCGUUGGAAAAUGGGAAAAAAAAUGAGGUUUUGGGAAGAACAUUGGUUGGGGGAAGCAACCUUUUGUGUUCUUUAUCUCAUGACCUCAUCUCUAUUUUCUUUCCGAAUAGCAUAAUUUGUGGAUUCCUAGUUUCUGUGUCGAUUGAAGUAAUCAUAAAUAAGGAGGUAGGGGAGCUUAUAGCAAUUUGUUAAAAAAGGAGAGCGGGGAGGUUGUUUGUGUUCUACAGUUCUGCUUGUCGAAUCCUAGUUUCUAUUUUGCUUGUUUCAGAUACACUAUUAAUAGAUAGCACGGAAGUUCGAGUCUGUUCAGUAGCUUCUUUUAUGGCAAUGUUUCUUCAAGGACACUAGCUAGUGUGAGCUUAAUUGAAACUCUGCUAGGGAGUUGAUCGAGUUUUUCGGAGGUGAGAAAAGGGGCGUGGUUUUGAAGAGACGUGCUACGUUGGCAAUGUUCUGGGUAUUGAGGGUUUCGGAUAUUCUUAAGGGUGGGGAGGUAGAACACCUAUGUGUAUUGUUUGUUGUCCAACAAAUAACUGCAAUAUUUCUCGGUCAAUUAAGUGCUUGCUAGUUAUUCUUCUUUGCCUUUGGUGAUGUUGUUCUAGAAAUUUUUUCAGUGGUUGGCCAGAUAAUCCGAGUUUGGAAGGCGAUAUGGUUUAUUUUCUUGAAUGGGUAAGAACUUUGUUUUUGUGCCCCCACCAUAAGAACUAUUCAGAUUUUCACUUUGACAUGUUCAUCAAUGGUUCAUGGUUCAUGAUUCUACCCUAAACAAUCUUCUGUUGGAAUUGAGCAUCUCCUUAAGCUUGUAAACAUUUUAUAUAUCUUCAGCAUUGUUUUGGCUCUCAUAAUUCUACGAUACUAAUGUAUUCUUCCUCCUUGGGCUUGCAACUUGCUUGAAAACAAACCUGAUGUUGAACUAGUUGACUCUAGAUUAUCUGAAUUCAAUGAGGAAGAAGCAAGACGAACGACCAAUGCAGGACUUUUGUGCACUCGAUCAUCACCAAUCCUACAACCACCGUCUUGUUGGUCCGAAUGCGUUCUGGAGAUAUCGAAGUGAUGCCUGCUACUUCAAAGCCCGGUUACAUGAUCGACCACUGGAAGUACUGUCACCAGUCUAUAUAUCAACUGAUCGAUAUGUCAACUAGAGGAAUUCACUUCAGCUUUUACAACUCAUCGGCAAAUACAAGUUGAUGAUGAUGCAGGGAUACUUCAGAUGCCACUGUUCCCAUACUAAGAAAAUACAAAUGGUGAUACUAGAUGAGAAUUUUGAAAGAAUCGAAUAACUGAUCCACCCUAGUGAUUGAUUUUGUUUAUUUUUUCUGGGGUUAGGAAGGAGGGAGUAUAAACAGAUCGACAACUUUUGAUUCUUGAUCAUGUAUGUAUUUGCAGCAAUUGAACCUAUAGGCUAUGAAUGGGACUGCUCCAAAUAUGCCUUCCUUCAGAUUUA